AGCGGAGGAAAAGAAACUAACCAGGAUUCCCUCAGUAGCGGCGAGCGAAGAGGGAAAAGCCCAGCACCGAAUUCCCUGAUUCCCCUAGUAGCGGCGAGCGAAAAGGGAGGAGCCCAGCGCCGAAUCCCACGUCGCCUCCCGGCGUCGGGAAAUGUGGUGUUUGAGAGCGUCCUUUAACUCGUGGCGACGCGGUCGAGUUCAAGUCCGACCGUGGAACGAGGCCAUUAACCCACAGAGGGUGACAGGCCCGUAGAGACCGCCGCAAGUCACGAGCGAGGUCGUCUCUUUAGAGUCGGGUUGCUUGAGAGUGCAACCUCAAGUGGGUGGUAUACUCCAUCUAAGGCUAAAUACGACCAGAAGACCGAUAGCGAACAAGUACCGUGAGGGAAAGAUGAAAAGCACUUUGGAAAGAGAGUUAAAAGUACGUGAAAUUGUCGAAAGGGAAGCACUUGAAGUCAGCCAUGCUGCUUGAGACUCAGCCUGGCUUUUGCUUGGUGUAUUUCUCGGUAGCAAGCCAGCAUUGGUUUGUGUCGUCGGAGAAGCGUAUGGGGAAUGUGGCAUCCUCGGAUGUGUUAUAGCCCUGUGCAGGAUACGACGACGUAGACCAAGGAACGCAGUGUGCCCUCUGGGCGGGUCUUCGGACACCUUCACACUUAGGAUGCUGGCGUAAUGGCUUUAAGUGCUUGGGGGCGAAGGGGGCUACCGGUUUGGCCGUGAGCUUUACAGCGCUCCUGCUCCGUACUCCGCCGCUUUCCCGGGCGAGGACUUAAUUACCCGCUGCGUCAUGCCCCCUGCGGGGGGGCACGGGCCCCCUUCCCCCGGCGCGAGACUGUCAACGGGUCGGACUGCCCUCAGUGCGCACCCAACCGCGGUGGCGUCGCCAGGGUAGAAGAUAUCGGCUCACGUAAACUUAGAGAUCGGCUCACGUAAACUGUCCCAGGGGUCAGCUGCGAUGUCGGCACCCACCCGACCCGUCUUGUAACACGGACCAAGGAGUCUAACGCACGCGCAAGUCAGAGGGUUUUCUCCGAACCACCCCCCUGGCGCAAUGAAAGUGAGAGCCGGCGGGGCGGCUGAGGUGGGAUCCCGGCCCUACGGGUCGGGGAUCCCGGCCCUACGGGGUCGGAGGCACCCCCGCCCGUUCGCCCGGCUCUGUCGGGGGGGUGUAGCGUGAGCGCGUGCGAUAGAACGAAAGAUGGUGAACUAUGCCUGGGCAGGGCGAAGCCAGAGGAAACCUCUGGUGGAGGUCCGUAGCGGUCCUGACGGGAAAUCGGUUCGCCGACCUGGGUAUAGGGGCGAAAGACUAAUCAAACCAAUCUAGUAGCUGGUUUCCUUCUAAGUUUCCCUGGUUCCCUCCGAAGUUUCCCUAAGGAAUAGCUGGCGCCGAAUGUCUCGCAGUUUUAUCCGGGUAAAGGCGAAUGAUUAGAGGCCUUGGGGCCGAAACGAUCUCAACCUAUUCUCAACUUUAAAUGGGUAGAAGCCCGGCUCGCUGGCUUUCCGAAGUUUCCCUCAGGAUAGCUGACGGGCUAUUAAAAACGAAUGUGUUUCAUCCGGUAAAGCGAAUGAUUAGCGGCCUUGGGGUCGAAAUGAUUUCAACCGAUUCUCAAACUUUAAAUGGGUGAGAACCCCGGCUUGCUUAAUUGAAGCUCGGGGCAUUAAAACUUGCCCGUCAUUGGAGCCGGGCGGGGAAUGGGAGCCGCCUAGUGGGCCACUUUUGGUAAGCAGAACUGGCGCUGCGGGAUGAACCGAACGCCGGGUUAAGGCGCCCGAUGCCGACGCUCAUCAGACCCCAGAAAAGGUGUUGGUCGAUAUAGACAGCAGGACGGUGGCCAUGGAAGUCGGGAUUCCGCUAAGGAGUGUGUAACAAACUCACCUGCCGAAUCAACUAGCCCUGAAAUGGAUGGCGCUCUGGAGCGUGGGGCCCAUCCCGCUGGCCACGGAGAGCCUCGAGGGCUAUGCCGCGACGAGUAGGAGGGCCGCCGCGGUGAGCACGGAAGCCUAGGGCGCGGGCCCGGGUGGAGCCGCCGCGGGUGCGGUAGUAGCGGGUGCAGAUCUUGGUGGGAAGUAGCAAAUUAUUCCAACCGAGAGCUUUGGAAGGCCGAAGUGGAGAAGGGGUCCCAUGUGAACAGCAGUUGAACUGGGGUCAGUCGGUCAAAGAGAGGGGCGAACGCCGUGGGGAGGGGAGGGGCGAUGGCCUCCGUCGCCCCGGCCGAUCGAAAGGGAGUCGGGUUCAGAUCCCCCGAAUCCCCGAAUCCGGAGGGGGGAUGGGGGCCGCGAGGGGUCCAGAGGGGUAACGCGACCGAUCCCGGAGAAGCUGAGAACUGCGGGGAGCCCCGGGGAGAGNNNNNNNNUGUAAGGGAAGUCGGCCAAGUCAGAUCCGUGUAACUUCGGGUAAGGAUUGGCUCUAGGGGCUGGGUCGCGGUGUCGGGCUGGGGUGCGAAGCGGGGCUGGGCUCGAACCGCGGCUGGGGGAGCAGUCCCUCCGUCACCCUCCUCUCACCACCAUUUCAUUGUGGCCCAUCUCGCGGUUUCUUGUGCGUAGUCUCGCAAGGGUCUGCGUGCGGGGAUUCGUUGGGGUGGUGUCCGUCGGGUGCGAGGCGGGGCUGGCCCCGAGCCGCGGCUGGGGGGGCCAGUUGCUCCGCCGCCCCUCCUCUCGCCCACCGUUGGAAGUUUGUCGUGCGGCCCAUCUCGGGGGUCUCGUUCGUGGUCUCGCAAGGGGCUGCGUGUGGGGGUUUAUCGGGGUGGGGUCCGCCGGUGGGCCGAAACGGAACCGGUGAGGGGUUGGGUCCGGCGGUUGGCAGCGGGGACUCUGGACGCGGGACGGGCCCUUUUCGCGGAUCUCCCCAGCUACGGUCUCGUCGGCCCCUUAACGCGGGGUCUCCGCGGGUUGCUCGGCCGGCGCCUAGGCGCUGACUUAGAACUGGUGGCGGACCAGGGGAAUCCGACUGUUUAAUUUAAAACAAAGCAUCGCGAAGGCCCAAGGUGGGUGUUGACGCGCGAUGUGAGAUUUUGCCCCAGUGCUCUGAUGUCAAAGUGAAGAAAUUCAAUGAAGCGCGGGUGAAAUUCAAUGAAGCGCGGGUUAAACGGCGGGAGUAACUAUGACUCUCUUAAGGUAGCCAAUGCCUCGUCAUCUAAUUAGUGACGCGAUGAAUGAUGAAGAGAUCCCACUGUUCCCUAUCUACUAUCUAGCGAAACCACUGCCAAGGGAACGGGCUUGGCGGAACAGCGGGGAAAGGAGACCCUGUUGAGCUUGAGAUCUAGUCUGGCACUGUGAAGAGAACAUGAGAGGUGUAGAAUAAGUUGGGAGGCCCCGGCCGCCGGUGAAAAUACCACUACUCUUAUCGUUUUUUCAUUUACCCGGUGAGGCCGGGGAGCCGAGCCCCGAGCGGGCUCUCGCUUCUGGCUUCGAGGGCGGGGGGGAGCGGGCUCUCGCUAUUGCCUCAAGCACCCGGCUCGCGUCGGGUGCGUCGCACCCGCUCGCUUCGGGGGCGCGCCCGCUCCGGGGCAGAGGGGGGGNNNNNNAGGUGUCCUAAGGGCGACUCAGGGAGGACAAGAAACCCUCCCGUGGAGCAGAAGGGCAAAACUCGCUUGAUCUUGAUUUUCAGUAAUGAAUACAGACCGUGAAAGCGGGGGCCUCACCGAUCCUUCUGACUUUUUGGGUUUUAACAGGAGGUGGUCAGAAAAGUUACCACAGGGAUUCUGCUUCAAAAUGAAAGAAAGAGCCGACAUAAGAAUCCAAAAGACAUCGAAGAAUAAAAAGGCGCCGU
RNAcentral lists this ribosomal RNA (3766 nucleotides) under Salmo trutta (river trout). RNAcentral describes it as "eukaryotic LSU rRNA". It matches the Rfam family "Eukaryotic large subunit ribosomal RNA", at positions 49 to 2987 of the family's 3401-position model. Lineage: Eukaryota; Metazoa; Chordata; Actinopteri; Salmoniformes; Salmonidae. The record is from RNAcentral.